Molecule: ribosomal RNA, 425 nt
Filed under: uncultured bacterium
Lineage: Bacteria
Description: partial 16S ribosomal RNA
Rfam family: Bacterial small subunit ribosomal RNA
Source: RNAcentral
GUGGGGAAUCUUAGACAAUGGGGGCAACCCUGAUCUAGCCAUGCCGCGUGAGUGAUGAAGGCCUUAGGGUCGUAAAGCUCUUUCGCCGGGGAAGAUAAUGACUGUACCCGGUAAAGAAACCCCGGCUAACUCCGUGCCAGCAGCCGCGGUAAUACGGAGGGGGUUAGCGUUGUUCGGAAUUACUGGGCGUAAAGCGCGCGUAGGCGGAUCGGAAAGUUGGGGGUGAAAUCCCGGGGCUCAACCCCGGAAUUGCCUUCAAAACUCCCGGUCUUGAGGUCGAGAGAGGUGAGUGGAAUUCCGAGUGUAGAGGUGAAAUUCGUAGAUAUAGGAAGGAACACCAGUGGCGAAGGCGACUACCUGGACUGAUACUGACACUGAGGUGCGAAAGCGUGGGGAGCAAACAGGAUUAGAAACCCGGGUAGUCC